UACGGAGGGUGCGAGCGUUGUUCGGAAUCACUGGGCGUAAAGCGCGUGUAGGCGGCCCAUUAAGUCUGAUGUGAAAGCCCGGGGCUCACCCCCGGAAGUGCAUUGGAAACUGAUGGACUCGAGUCCCGGAGAGGAGAGUGGAAUUCCUGGUGUAGCGGUGAAAUGCGUAGAUAUCAGGAGGAACACCGGUGGCGAAGGCGGCUCUCUGGACGGCGACUGACGCUGAGACGCGAAAGCGUGGGGAGCAAACAGG
This 253-nucleotide ribosomal RNA is filed under the name uncultured bacterium. Its description in RNAcentral is "partial 16S ribosomal RNA". It matches the Rfam family "Bacterial small subunit ribosomal RNA", at positions 524 to 776 of the family's 1533-position model. The record is from RNAcentral.